Molecule: long non-coding RNA, 979 nt
Organism: Cucumis melo (muskmelon)
Lineage: Eukaryota; Viridiplantae; Streptophyta; Magnoliopsida; Cucurbitales; Cucurbitaceae
Exons: 4
Source: RefSeq, a predicted model, not a curated record
UUAGUUUCACAAACCUAAAAAUCCUAGCAAGCCGCCACUGUCGCCUCCAUUUUUUCGACCAACCUCCACCGCGCACGUCGUCCGCCUCCGUCCAAUAGCUGAUCGCAGUCGCUUCCACUGUUACUCCAUCGCAACCCGUCGACUGUCAAGCCGAUCUAUCGUUCCCGAGCUUUUCAGUCGCAGAUCCGAGGUGAGUGUCAUUGCCGUCUGUAAGUUGCCUUUGUCUACUAUUUCGUGUGUCGCCGUCGAAGCCCAGCUGGCUGCCGUUAGCGUUUCGUCAGCCACCGCAAGUUGUUCCGUCAAGUUGAACGUCAUCGAGUAGCCAGCUGUCUUUGUUAUUCGUCGCGUGUGGCAUUGUCGGAGUUCCACCCAGCCAUGUUGGAGAUUGCCACGAACCUGAGCCGCUGGCUGCGUCGUGUGUUCGUUGGAAGCCGAUCCAUCCUUAGUCGCAUCCCCGUAAGUCGUACCCGAGCCGCACGUACACUCCAGUCGAGUCGCGUCGAGCCAUCUUCCAGCUGCCAAGUCGAUUCUCACCCGAGCCACCCCUUUCCUUGCAUCGACCCGUUUUUCCUACCGAGUCGAGCCACUUGUUUUCCUUUAGUCGAGCCACCUAGCCAAUUUUUCCCUAGCGAAGCCAUAUUGAGCCACCAAGUUAUUUUUGGCUUUUUACCUAUUUUUGAUUUAACUGGAAACGGAGUUGGGAAUUUGUCCACUAAGUGUAAAUCGAAUUCGACGUCGACUUUGGGAUUUUCCCUUGGGAAGCUUGACCGUGACUGUUAGGAUAAUUUUGGGUUAAGCAAAUCUCCAGGCAGAGGUAGAGGUAAGGGCAGAGGAAGCUGGAGAAUGACAAGAAGUGACCGUGGCGAGCCAUAAGGAUCAUUUUUACUUCCGCCUUAUGUCAUUGAUCAGAUGCACUUUCUAUUUUAUUUUACUUCAUUUUAAAAAACUAGAUAGGGCCCGAAUUAGGAUUUUAUUUAAU